Long non-coding RNA from Diorhabda sublineata, 1346 nucleotides. RefSeq lists it as uncharacterized. NCBI's taxonomy places the organism in Eukaryota, Metazoa, Arthropoda, Insecta, Coleoptera, Chrysomelidae. The transcript has 3 exons. The record is from RefSeq and is a predicted model, not a curated record.
ACUACAAGUUUAUAAUUUAUUAAAACAACAGUAUAAAUUUUAAUAGAGGUCAUUCUAUAACCUUGAAUUUUAAUUAAUCAAGAAUAGAACCUCUUUGCGUUAUAACGAUUAUAUAUUGUCCAAGGAAUGAAAACUUUACAAUAGUAGCUAAUUGGUUGGGUUAUGAGCUAUUGGACCCUAUGAGCGUGUUGAAGUCAUCUUCAAUCAUAGGACCUUUUCUACAUGCCGAAGCAGUUUUUAUCUUCCAGAACCGUUUAUAGAAGAUAUGGUUUUUCGAGAGGCCGAUAGAUCAGUUAAGAAUUCCACAUUUAUUGUUGAUCUGUGAACCUUUGAGAGACUAAAUAUUGGUCUGCGGACACUAGCCCAACGUUCAACGCGUUUUAGAGUGAAAAUUGAACCAAAAUACACGUGUUUUACUAUAGAAUAACGCAACAGAAUCUAAAAAAUAUAUAGAGGUUUAAAUAAAAUGAUAACUAAAGGAUACAACUUCUAGUUACCUGUGCUUGGUACAUUCUAAUAAGACUGGAAUUGAUUCCAUACCAUGAAGAUACUCCACUCAGAUUCCACAGUUGAUUCGAAUGUCUGUUAAAAGAGUCUAUUUUUAUUCUAUUAGUGAAUUGGAUACAACUUAGGAACAUAUAUUGCGAUGAAUGGCGUUUAACAGUAGCUCUUUUUAGAUAACACGUUGGAUUAAGUUCAGUAUUACCUAAAAUAACGAAGAAAAAAUUAUCAUCACUAUAAAACAUACCCCAUUUUGUUGUACAUACCGACUAGCUGUGAACUACCCCAUAUAAAAGCAACAAACUGGUAAUCAUUCAAAUUCCAAGUUUUGUUACCACCAAGAGAAGUCAUUUUAUAAGUUUUUUGUAGUUUUUGAGCAACAUAUAAAUAUCUAAAAAUGACAAAUUCAUUAUUACCUAGUCAACAUAGCAGAAAUUUGCGUGCCAGAUUACAGUAUUGGGGUUAGUUCUCCAUGCAAUGUAUGCAGUCUUACCUAACAGAAUGUUUCUAAAUUCGUGCGCUAAAAUUCAGGAUGUGAUUUUGAGUUUUCGUUACUUUUUUCCAAAUUUUAGUUUGAAAUAAAUUAGGGUUAAAUUAGCAAACCUUUUUUUCGAGAUUUAGUUUUAUAAAAUGAAAAUAUUUCUUGAAAUAUCUACAUUAUUCAGAAUAAUCUAGAUUUGGAAUGAUUUACAGAUAUUUUAGGUUGUUUCAAAAUUCAAUCAGAAAUAUUUACUGAUGGUCGCACAUUAGUUUCGGCUUGGAUUAUUACAUUGUGCAAUUAGUAUUUUCACAUAACGAAUAAAUUGUUAUCGAAUUUAUUAUAUUCAUUAAAUGUUUAUCAAUUA